GUUAACCAUGUUCCAACAUCACCAAUAAUCAUAUGGUAAUUAGUUUAGCUAUUGCUAAGACACGCCACCAUUUGUCUUCUCCAACAACAUUUCAUCUCAUCUCAUCCAAAGGCAGAGUCACCUUUAUACCUGUAAGAUGGAGUCCAAGUGAGAGGGAUGUGUUCAGGGGCGAAGCUAGCUAUAUGGCAUGGUUUGGCCAUCGCCAUACCUAGCCAGUUGUAUAAAUACCUAUAUAUACUACUAGUUUCAGGCUGGUAACAACGUUUUGUAGUAGCGUAGUAGUUUCAGGCUGUAGUAGCGUAGUAGUUUCAGGCUGUAGUAGCGUACCUCCUAUUGGGCCCUGGGCAAGGG
Molecule: long non-coding RNA, 351 nt
Filed under: Hordeum vulgare
Lineage: Eukaryota; Viridiplantae; Streptophyta; Magnoliopsida; Poales; Poaceae
Description: long non-coding RNA (HVUL_LNC005294)
Source: RNAcentral